Molecule: transfer RNA, 92 nt
Filed under: Oleidesulfovibrio alaskensis
Lineage: Bacteria; Pseudomonadati; Thermodesulfobacteriota; Desulfovibrionia; Desulfovibrionales; Desulfovibrionaceae
Also listed under: 4 other names
Description: Desulfovibrio alaskensis (biofilm metagenome) tRNA-Ser
Rfam family: tRNA
About the family: Transfer RNA (tRNA) molecules are approximately 80 nucleotides in length. Their secondary structure includes four short double-helical elements and three loops (D, anti-codon, and T loops).
Source: RNAcentral
GGAAGGGUGGCAGAGUCCGGUUUAAUGCGGCGGUCUUGAAAACCGUUGAGGGUUUGCGCUCUCCGGGGGUUCGAAUCCCUCCCCUUCCGCCA